RNAcentral lists this ribosomal RNA (525 nucleotides) under uncultured bacterium. RNAcentral's name for it is "bacterial SSU rRNA". It matches the Rfam family "Bacterial small subunit ribosomal RNA", at positions 21 to 518 of the family's 1533-position model. The record is from RNAcentral.
GGCUUAGGACGAACGCUGGCGGCGUGCCUAAUACAUGCAAGUCGAACGGUCUUUCUAUGGAAGCUUGCUUCCACUGAGAAGAUAGUGGCGAACGGGUGAGUAACACGUGGGUAACCUGCCCAUAAGAGGGGGAUAACAUCCGGAAACGGGUGCUAAUACCGCAUAGUUUUCUUGAUCGCAUGAUUGAGAAAGGAAAGAUGGCCUUUGUGCUGUCGCUUAUGGAUGGACCCGCGGCGUAUUAGUUAGUUGGUGAGGUAACGGCUCACCAAGACGAUGAUACGUAGCCGACCUGAGAGGGUGAUCGGCCGCAUUGGGACUGAGACACGGCCCAAACUCCUACGGGAGGCAGCAGUAGGGAAUCUUCCGCAAUGGACGAAAGUCUGACGGAGCAACGCCGCGUGAGUGAAGAAGGUUUUUCCGGAUCGUAAAACUCUGUUGUCAGAGAAGAACAAGUUGGAGAGUAACUGCUCCAGCCUUGACGGUAUCUGACCAGAAAGCCACGGCUAACUACGUGCCAGCAGCAGC